GUAAAUAGGUGUAAUGAUGCACAGAAAAUUUUGAUUUUUACGGACAAGUUUAAUCCUUGAAUUUACA
This 67-nucleotide transfer RNA is filed under the name Empoascanara alami. RNAcentral's name for it is "tRNA-Gln". Lineage: Eukaryota; Metazoa; Arthropoda; Insecta; Hemiptera; Cicadellidae. The record is from RNAcentral. RNAcentral also lists the same sequence under 1 other name.